GAUGAAGAACGUAGCGAAAUGCGAUAAGUAAUGUGAAUUGCAGAAUUCAGUGAAUCAUCGAAUCUUUGAACGCACAUUGCGCCCGCCAGUAUUCUGGCGGGCAUGCCUGUUUGAGCGUCAUUUCAACCAUCAAGCUCUGCUUGCGUUGGGGAUCCGCGGCUGCCCGCGGUCCCUCAAAACCAGUGGCGGGCUCGCUAGUCACACCGAGCGUAGUAACUUUACAUCGCUAUGGUCGUGCGGCGGGUGCUUGCCGUAAAACCCCCCAAUUUUUAAGGUUGACCUCGGAUCAGGUAGGAAUACCCGCUGAACUUAAGCAUAUCAAUAAGCGGAGGA
Molecule: unclassified non-coding RNA, 333 nt
Filed under: soil metagenome
Description: partial contains 5.8S ribosomal RNA, internal transcribed spacer 2, and large subunit ribosomal RNA
Rfam family: 5.8S ribosomal RNA (bases 1-120)
Source: RNAcentral